Molecule: ribosomal RNA, 509 nt
Filed under: uncultured bacterium
Lineage: Bacteria
Description: partial 16S ribosomal RNA
Rfam family: Bacterial small subunit ribosomal RNA
Source: RNAcentral
GAUGAACGCUAGCUACAGGCUUAACACAUGCAAGUCGAGGGGAAACGAUAGAGAAAGCUUGCUUUUUCUAGGCGUCGACCGGCGCACGGGUGAGUAACGCGUAUCCAACCUGCCCACCACUUGGGGAUAACCUUGCGAAAGUAAGACUAAUACCCAAUGAUAUCUCAAGAAGACAUCUGAAUGAGAUUAAAGAUUUAUCGGUGAUGGAUGGGGAUGCGUCUGAUUAGCUUGUUGGCGGGGUAACGGCCCACCAAGGCGACGAUCAGUAGGGGUUCUGAGUGGAAGGUCCCCCCACAUUGGAACUGAGACACGGGCCAAACUCCUACGGGAGGCAGCAGUGAGGAAUAUUGGCCAAUGGGCGAGAGCCUGAACCAGCCAAGUAGCGUGCAGGAUGACGGCCCUAUGGGUUGUAAACUGCUUUUAUAAGGGAAUAAAGUGAGUCUCGUGAGACUUUUUGCAUGUACCUUAUGAAUAAGGACCGGCUAAUUCCGUGCCAGCAGCCGCCGCGG